AAGCUACCGUCCAGUCUAGCUGCUAAAUAGUAAACAACCUGUUCACUCAUCUGAGCAUCGAGGCCACAGGCAUUGAGUGUGGGGGACCCAGAUCCUGUCCCACUCAGUCCUCCCCAGACUUCUCAAGGAUGCCUGAAGUCGGUGAAGGCUGACUCGCCGCAGAUCCUCUUUUUAGCUGCAGCCGGGAUCUUAAGCAUCUCCUCCUCUGCAGGUGGCCUCUUCUCCUCUUUCUUCUCUCUCCUGCUGCACAGAGAAAACUAUUCUUCAUGGUUCUUGCCAAACGUGUGUGUGCGUGUGUGCGCAUCACAUGUAUGUAUGUCAAACAACAUUUCUGACAAUAUGUGCAGAUGAUCUGAUAUACAAGUGGAGAAAAUUCCUCACAAGUUACGUAGAAAGAUUAAAAAUAGCUUUCCUUUUUGCUUACUGUAACUAAAACUGGCCUACUGUCAUUACAUGGUCCAGUCACUUUGAAUCCCACUGUAGUACUCAUGUGGUGCAGUGGGAGGCAGUGGCACGCUGGGAACACCCAGUAAACAUUCAGCACCGCAAUUUAACGUCCCUCAGCAGAGAAACAGAUGGCAUGGGGAGAUGCAUAUGUCAGCACCCACAAGUUAAUUGCUCUAUAAUAGCUAUUUAAGCUUCACUUAAGCUCCCCCGGCUGGUACAGAGAAAGCGCUAAAUCCACUGCAGAGUGGUUACAGAUAAAAGGAUCAGGGAGAGGUUUUUUCUUUCUACUUUUCUUACAGAUGCAUCGUGUUCAGUCUCGAGUUGACAGAACCAAGAUGGCCGAGUCUCCCUGGCUGGUCACUUUCACACUCUUUUGCCGACAUACUGUAUCUUGGUAAAUUGGCAGAGUAAAGGGUUGGCAGCACAAGCCCAAAAUUAAAAAAAAAACCUCUGGCCAAUUAAAAUGGAACCGUAGCAUCAUAUACAUUGAUCUUAAUUAUUGGCUGUUUUUUGAUUUGGUGUGAGGUAAUUAAUGGUAUUAUAUUAACUAAACAGUGGUAGAAAACAUAUGAGUCCAACAUUUUUGACACGUCACAGAGAGUUAAAGAGACUCGAUAUAGAUCUUACUCAUUAAAAAUCUCAUGUGUAUCGGGACUAAUAAUGUCAUUAAUUCUGUGUUGAUGAUAUGCUGAUUGUUUAUAUAGAACAAUGUCGUGCCAUCAACCAAUGAAUGCAAAUAUGGCAACUCUGCAGUAUUCUGUGUAUUGUGAUCUAUAAUUCUUUGUUUGUUCGAUCCCACAGACUCAUAGUUGUGUAUAACGCAACUUGAAGAGCAAAGGGCGUUUCUUGACAUUUCAGGCCAGUGGGUUCACCCCACCCUCUUGGGUAGUGACGGGCAGCUGCUUCUCCUCAACAUCUGGAACAGACUCUCUGGGAGGGUUUGUGGACCUGACUGAACGGCAUCACCAGGGCGGAGUUGUUCCACUGGAGCCCAGAGUGCUCCACAUCAUCAUCAUCAUCAUCAUCGUCGUGUACAAAGGGCCAAACUGUGCUCGAACUGCCUCCCGUGCAAAUGACAGUGGAAAUGAUCAUUAUGACUUUAAAGGCUUUGCACUGCAGUGCAGUUGUUGUUGGUGUGCAAUUGGCCAGCAGCUUUAAAUGGCAGCCUGAUAUUCUUUGUUUUCCAAUGUGCUUUGGGGGUUUUAGCAG
This is a non-coding RNA of Gasterosteus aculeatus aculeatus (three-spined stickleback), 1656 nucleotides long. The record is from RefSeq and is a predicted model, not a curated record. Lineage: Eukaryota; Metazoa; Chordata; Actinopteri; Perciformes; Gasterosteidae.